This 10458-nucleotide long non-coding RNA is filed under the name Solanum tuberosum (potato). Its description in RNAcentral is "long non-coding RNA (STUB_LNC007056)". Lineage: Eukaryota; Viridiplantae; Streptophyta; Magnoliopsida; Solanales; Solanaceae. The record is from RNAcentral.
GGCCAAUGACAUACUGAAUAAGAAAGAGAAUUUACAUUGCUGAUAAGAAUUUGUAAUAUUAUAUACAUUUGAAGGCAUCAGGGAUAAUCGAAUUACUCUUGUACUUGAUUGCUAAGGCCUACUACGUUCUAAAGCAAAAUUAUAUAUGUUUUUGAGUACAAAUACUUGUAAGUUUUCCACCUUUUGUCCUUACUAUUAUAGAGAGGACAUUGACCAAGUACCAACGCACAAUUAUCCGUAGACUCUUAGGACCAAAGUAGAGGUCAACUAGGGAUUAAGCAGUACAAUAUUGCUCGUCAUUAAAUCCUAGUGUCACUCCUAGCCCAUUCCAUGCAAAUUAAAUGGCUUCACUAUUCCUGCUAACGUCCUUCUUCAACUGUAAUCGUCACCUGAUUGUUGGAUACAAUGUAUUUCUUAUCGGAGGAAGAAGAAGAUGUGCUAGAAGCAUGUGUCCUUAUUACAAAAGCUGGUCUAUUAGGUGUUGGAAGGUUAGCACCUUCCCCUCCCAGCAUUAAAAUGACAUCUGACAUAUUAGGACGAUGAUUUGGAUCAUCUUGUACACACAGGAGCGCAAUAUUUAUGCACUUUAUUGCUUCACUUCUGUUGCAUGAUUCAAGUAAUGACUUCUCUAUUAAUUGUGUCUCAGCUUUUUCUGUCCACAAUUUCCAUGCCUGAGAUAAUUUUUCUAUCAGAGAAACAAAGCUAAGAAGAAGAUAUAAUAAUUAAGUCAUGGGAAGUUUCUUCACUUACAUAGCCCAACAAGUUUAAGGCUUCUUCUGACUGAUAAAAUCCAGUAUUCCUUCUCCCACUGAUUAUCUCAAGUACGACUACUCCGAAACUGAAUACAUCUGAUUUGAUGGAAAACAAUCCAUCCAAUGCAUAUUCUGGAGACAUAUAGCCACUAGAUUUCACCAGGUCAACAAAACAUUAUGUAUAAGAUUUUCUCCCAAGCUCCUUUUGUAAGAAAUUAAUGACAGGAAAGAAUAUUAUACUUACUAGGUCCCCACUAUGAAUAUUAUACUUACUAGGUGCCCACUAUUUUCUUUGUAUUUGCUUCUGUUACUUUUCCUUCAACAAUCCUUGCCAAGCCAAAAUCUGAAAUUUUCGGGUUCAUCUCCUCAUCUAAUAAAAUGUUACUGGUUUUUAAAUCUCUAUGAAUGAUCCUUAGUCGUGAAUCAUGGUGAAGAUAAGAUAGACCCCGUGCAAUGCCCAAUAUGAUGUCAUAACGUUUUUUCCAAUCCAAUAAUUGACAAAGUGCUCCAUCUUGCAUCAUAACCAUGAAAAAAUUUGGUAGGUCAAUAAAAUUAGAUCAUUAUAAGAAAUGUAAGACUUUGAGAAUAAGGAACUUAAUAAGGCUAACUCACCAAAUAUGAAUGUAUCUAAACUUUUAUUCGGCAUAUAUUCAUAAAGUAGUAUUUGUUCCGUUGCAUUGAUGCAAUAGCCCAAUAGCCUCACCAGAUUUCGAUGUUGAAGCUUUGCAAUUAGAGUCACUUCAUUCUUAAAUUCAUCUAUGCCUUGUCCUGAUUGACUGGAUAACGUUUUUACUGCAAUUUCCUUUUCACCCGGAAAGAUACCCUGCAAGAUUUUUUCAUCUCAUUACUAUAGGUCAAUGCGGUCAUGCCAGUCCACAUAGAUGUAGGAAUGAAGUUUUAACCUUGUAAACAGGACCAAAUCCUCCUUGUCUGAGCUUAUUUGCAUUUGAGAAGUUGUCUGUAGCAGCCAAAAUGGUCUCCAAGUGAAAGUAUGGAACAUCAAUAGCUUCAUCACUGUUUUCUUUCAUCAACACUUUCGCUUCUCCUUCAGCUUUGUGCCAAAGAGAUAUAUGUGCCCCUUGAGUACCUUUACUUUUAUCUGAUUGAGAAUGACCUUUGAAAUUAAGUUCAAAAUGGUAUAAAAGAAAAUAUCUUCCAGAGUAAGAUUCAUUCAUCAAAUACCUGCUUUUUUUGCCAUCCUUCUUCUAUAGUAAAUGUAGCAAAAGCUGGCUAUGAGUAGAAUCAUCAAAGCUAUUAUGGACGAAAGAAUUGCUUUUAGCUUCAUCAAUUUCUUAGCUUUAGUUUGAUCUGAAAGUAGAAAGCCAAAACCAUGUCAGAUAUAUUAACAUCUAUCUUGAAGGACUUUGAUGCAAAUAUUCAUUGGACCUCAGAACCUAUCAUUAAUACUCUUUAAGAAUUCUUUUCUGGCUUAAGUUUUACUUUGCUCAACCAACUCCUCAACACAGGAAAAAGAAAAGGAGAAUCAUUGUUGUUAAGUGCUGGUACCAAGAGAAAGCGAAAUGGAAAGGACGACACCAAGCAGGAUAUUGUUAGCAAUCUGCAUGCAUAGAAGGUCCUGGGUGGGAGAUUUUUUUACCCCAGGAUCCUUAAGAAACCUGGAAUGAACUCGUUGGCGGAUCUAGUGGAGAUUCAAUCAUGGACUCACCUGUUCAUGACUAAAUCUCAUGUAAUGCAUGAAGACCAAGUAAUGGAGUUCUAUUACAAUGUGGAGUUCAAUGAGGAUGGAAGUCUUUAUACUUUGGUGGGAGAUAAAAUGAUGCAUCUAAAUGAGGAGCUGUUGGGAGAGAUUCUAGAGGUACCUAGAGAAGGGAUCAGGUCCGUGGUUGGAAAACUUUACACUCAACACUUUGCCAAUGAGUGCUCUAAGCUUCCGCAUCGUGCAGGUAUUCAGAAAAAGCUUAUGAAAGGGGAAUACUAAUUGUUGUUUGAGUUUGUGAACAAGGUGGUUCUUUCUCGAUCUGAGAAGCGUAUAGUUGCCAAUUCAGCAGAUUUAUUCCUAAUGGAAUCUAUCUGCAAGUUCGACCCAUUGAAUCUGCCAGCACUCAUGUUGGAACACAUGCACAAAACGGUGAUAGAACGUAAAGGCAAGCAUGGAAUGAGAUAUGGAUACUUUCUCAUAAAAGUGUUCGAUCAUCUGAAAGUUUCACUGGGACCAGGUACUGUUGGCACAGUUAAACAAUCAAUUUCUCUCAAUACCUUAGUCGAGUGUGAGUGCAUCGAGGGUCAAAUAAGACGACUAAGUAAAAUGUCUCACUUAGUGGCUGAACGAGAUUAACUGAAGCGUGAACUGGAGGAACUAACAACACUUGUUCAGAAAAAGGAUGCUGAAAUGGCACUAUUGAAGGCAUAACUGGCCAAAGCUCAGUCUGAAGGACCUGGUACUGAAGAGGUCAAAGAGUUACGUCUGAAAAAUACAGCCCUUCUGACUCAAACUGCUGAUGUUCAAGAAAGGUUGAUCAAAGCUCAUGACUCUACCAAUGACCGACUUACCUUUGUCAUCAGAUCUCUCACUCAUCUGCCUCCUUCCUCCUAAUUAUCUCCAUCUUUUGUCCUUGCCUGUUUUUUUUGUGUGGGCAGUGUCCCGGGUUCUCUUUAGCAGUUUAUUGUCAAUGUAUUGAAUGUUUACUUUGUGCAAUGAAAAGGACUUCUGUUUUGUUGUGAUGUCUUCCAGUCUAAUUCUUUUUCUAUGAUGUGUUGCUCAAAGCUAUGGUCUUUCUAUGCAUGCUUACUUUUAAUCUUGGUUUACUGUCUCUCUUUUUUAUGAUGCCAAAAGGAGGAAUAAUGGGUGCCUUAUAGACAUGGGGAAGCGGAUAAUGAAGAGGAUAUAACAUUAUGAGUUUGUCAUCAUCAAAAAGGGGGAAAAUGUUAUUUGAAGUUUUGAUGAUUUGACAAACAGAGGACCUUGUAAGGGGAUCUGAUCCCCGUCAUUCAUAUCCGUACAAUUGACAGUUGGAAAAAGUACACAAGUUUGGUGCACGGUCUCCAAGUGUGGCAGAAACCUCAGUCAAUCGCAUUGCCUUGAAGGUUGUGUCUAUUCUCAUAAGGACUUCCACACACAUACACAACCUCAGUUUUUGCAAUAUAGAUUUUUAGAGCAAAAAGGCAAAAACCACUCUCUCAAGAAGUACUUACCAAAGAGCAACAAGGACCAUAUAGAGCAACUUGUAUCUUAGUUGUCUUAGGUUUUUACUUCAGUUCUUAUCGUUGUAAAUCUAAUCCUAAACUAUAAAGGAAUUAGAUCUUUUGUCAGUUCGUCUAAAAGUCUAAACCAGUUGUGUCUAACUGGUUUAGUGGGCAACAUUGUUCGUUGCUUAGUCAAAUCCUAAGUCAUCUAGUGUUAGGUGGGUUAGUGGGCAACCGUGGGUUGCUUAGUGAAUUCUAAGUUAUCUUGUGUCAGGUAGCUUAGUGGGCAAUUGUGAUAUUGCUUAGUUGCUCUAUUUGUAGUGGAAAUACUACUUUUACGGGGAAGGGAUUUAGAGGUAAAUUCCUAGGUUGCAAGUUGUUGUAAUCUGAAUCGUUGCUCUAUUUAGAAGAAAUGGAGUUUGGUUUGAAAAGUUUGUGAGGACAGGUCGUAGUUUUCACCGCCCUUAGAGCAAGGGGGUUUCCACGUUAAGUGCUUGCGUUGUUUUUGUUGUUUUACUUGUCUUACUGUUGUUGCUUGCAUUAUUGUUCUUAACGUGUCAAGGGACCUGGUCCAUUGACUUUUAGUGGACGCCUGUAUUCUAACACACUUGAUGGUGUGUUUCAAGUGUUUGUAACUCGAUAUGGUAUGAUCAAUAUUGUCUUUAAAGUAUUUAUUUCCCAAAUUGGUAUAUACUGUUCUGAUUUGCAAAUUGGAAAUACACUUAAUCAGAAACGGUUUCAAAAUAUAUAAAUGUGUCUUUUAAUUUUGUCCUCCAACUUUGGGUAUAUAUAUGUACAAGUAGAUACUUAAACUAGUAUAAAGUUAAACAAAUAGACACAUGAGUCUUAAGUGGCAUAAUACACAUAAGACACCAUGUAGAACACAAAUUGUCAUAUAGGAUAUUAGGUAGGACGUAUCCGUCUAUUUGUUCAACUUUAUACAAGUUUAAGUGUGUACUUAUGCAAAACCAAUGUUGAAAGGCAUAUGUAAAAUGAAGACAAAUUAAAUAACAUAUUUAUAUAUAAUACCAUAACAACUUCACAACUAGGUUCAUAAUCAAAUAAUUAUAAUAUCUAGUAAAAUAUUAAAAUAUAUAUAAAACCUAAACAAAAACUACUAGAUUUACGUGAAUCUAGAAAUAAUAUUAUUAUAAUUAGUUCAGUUUUUUCAAAAAAUUAUAUAUCGAACAUUAGAACAUGUUUUUAAUUUUUUUUUUUUUUUUUUGCAGAUCAACAACAUGUUGUUGGUCCAAAGAAAAUUGGGGUAUGUAUCGACCCACCUCCUUGUGGAUCUGACUGUGAGUGUGAUAAAUCACCUUGUGGUCACAGAUGUUUGAGGGAUGUGUGGGGUCUUCGUUUCUGUCGCUUUUAAUAUUGUAUGCCAUGGCAUGGAACUUUUAUGUUUUUCUUAAUCGGAAUAAAAUUGUGUGUAUUUGGAAAUUUGUAAUCGCAAAUAUUUAAUUAUUAAUGGAAAAUAAAGAUUUGUGAUUUAUCAAUGUAAUGUCUUAUGAUAUUGUUUACCAAAAAAAUGGUGCAGCUAAAUUUGUAUGAGUCAAGAAUACAUGUUUUAGCUUAAUUCAUAAGAUCUGGUUAUUAGCAAUUGAAUAUUUAUAACAAAAAAUAAUGGCCUCUGUGCAUGGUCCGUUCAAUUAUAAGACCAUUAAAGUAAAGCGGAAUACAUAAAUAGACCCCUAAACUUGUUCGAUUUUUCCUCUCAGGCACCUCAACUAUGCUACCUUCCUAUUGAAUCUCUGAACCAUCUAUAAUUUGUACCUUUUAAACAUUAUUGGCUGGCAUGGCACAAAACUUCAACAAAUAUUUUUUGUUGAUUGUGCGCGUGAAAUCCACCUUUCCCAUGUGGAAAGUGCAACCAAUCAAAAUACUCAAACUGUUGAAACAAUUUACACAUCAGUCAAUCUUGCCAAAAUAAAAAUCCAAAUAAAACCUAGAAAACCAAAACAUUUCAAUAGUUUCAAUAGUUCAACCCAAAUAACUCUAAGAAUGGAUGCUUCAAUAGUUCCUUUGUUGUUGCCCUUCUGAAUGGAGUUCUCUUAAAAGUGAUAGUACUAAAAACUUCUCAUGAACUCUUUUGGAAAUCGGUGUUUCCUCUCAUCUUAAAUGUAAAAACAUUUACUCUUGGGAAUACUUAGUUCCCAUAUAUCAUUUUAAAGAAAAUGAACUCAACUCUGCUCUUCCUCAAACUCAAAUGCUCAAGUCUUAAAAUAAGUUUUAAAACAAUGUAAAAGACUUCUCGAAAUGACUCUAAUGAACUCUCAAAACUUGACUCUUAAUUGAAUUAUGAAUUAUGAAUUCAAGAGUUAUGAUUUAUGAUAUGAAGGAUAUCAUGAUGAUUAAAUGAGUUUUAGAUAGUUAAUGAUGAGAAACGGUCGAAGAACACUGUCUGGGGAGCAAGUUCGCAACACGGAGAUGAAUUAUAAUAUUUGGUUGCGAAAUAACUUUUGAAACAGUGGAGUCCGUGUUCUCUCCGUGACGUGGAGAGAGAAAUUUCUCUCUAGGGGAGCAAUUCCGCGACGUGGACUUGGGCGCCAAUUUCAUGCCCGAUUUUUUCUUCUUCUCCCAAACCUGAUUCAACUCGUACCCACUAAAAUUCUAAGGUAAAAACUCUCGAAUUCCUAUAACUCAGAACAAUUCCAGCGGAACUCACUCGAGAACUAUCAAUUUACUCAACCCCUUAACAAAAUCUUCAUCUCAAGAACUCAACCAAACAUCAAGAUUCAAGAAUGAAUAACAACUCAUCAAGAAACUCAUCAAGAACUUAAUUCCUCAAUCUCUAGGGAUGAAUUUGGAAAUGUAAAAAUAUGAUUGGCAUGUGGGUGAACGAACCCAACACUAUGAAAAACUUACAUACCUCGAUUUGGCGAAACAAAUCCUCAAUUUGCACGAACCUUGAUCGUUCUUCCUUUUCUCCUCUUUUCCUCUUCUUGAACUCUCUUCUAAAAUCCUAAGCGGAAUUAGGAUUUGUAAAACUGACUCAAAUCAAAUUUGACCCCAAAAUAAUACUAAAAAUCGUUUUAAUCUGAUUGGGUAAGGAAAAAACCAAAAUACCCCUCAUUAAUUCGGGUAACUUUCCUUAACUGGACAUGCUAACUUCAAACGGGCAUAUCUCCCUCAUACGAGCUUGAAAUUUAGCAAACUCGGUGGCGUUGGAAAGAGGAUUCCAAGACCUUUCAUUUGAUAACUUAUGGGCUACCUAACUCAUCCUGUACUGAAAGUUAUGACCAUUUGAAGUUGAUCCAAAACUCACAACUCAAGCAUAACUUGCAAAAUUUCAAAUUAGUUUCUUUCCAAAUUAAUUCUUUCUAAAUAUAGCUCUUUCUAAGGCAGGAUUAUAUGUAUGUAUAUGAUUUUGUAUGUGUAUAUAUUGUUGGGAAAAGGCAUAGAUUCCCCCUUGAAUUUGUCCCGAAAAGUUAUUUACACGCUUUAACUAUCCUGAUGACCUAUUACACACCUGAUUUUGUUUAAAGUGAUAUUAAUACCCCCUUAAAAGAUGGCAUGGCAAAGAAAGCGUCUUCACCCUCUUUAAGGUGCGUGAGAAGAAGAAAAAAAAAAGUUAAAAUGAUAAAUUUAAACAUGUGAAACUAUCUUAUUGGUCAUUAUAUAAUUAAGUAUUAUAAUUUUUAGUAUAUUAAUUAUGUCAAUAAUCUUUUUUUUUUGUCUUUUUAUUAGUGGCCUCCAAUUUUUUUAAAAGCUUUUACAUUUUUCUUUCUUUUGACUUCUUCUUCUUCAACAGUUCUUCACUUUGUCACCAUUAAUAAGUUCUUCACUUUAUUCCCAUGAAAGCAUAUUCAAACCCUUACAGAAGAACUCUAAAAAGAAAUAGAAAGAAAAUGAUUGUUCUAUCUUCGUCUUCUCUAUUCUUGCCGGCACCUCCAACCAUCACAAUGUCAUUUUUGUCUCAAGCGGCCAUCAAUAGCAUAUUUGAUUAUUCACUAUGCACAAAUAAUACAAAUGAAAUGCUUAAUUUCAUCCAUAAUUAUCGAUAUUUUUAAAGAAAAUUACAGAUUUGAAAGUAAUUUUAUAGAUCUGAAAGUUUUUAUUUGUUUCACUGGCAACAAUGGUGUUGCCCACGGCGUAUCACCGCUACCAACAUCUCCAUACUUCAUAAUCGUCUGACUACUUCCUAUUUUAUCUUCAAAUUUUCUCGUUUCCCCUUCUACUUAUGAAGAAGGAAGAAGAAAUGAAUUUAAAAAAUAAAGAGAUGUAUGGUGUGGGGAGGAAGAACACACACAAAGUAGAAAUUAUUAAGGGAAAAAAGUUAAAAAAUAUAAAAUAAUAUUAUUUCCGUUUUCAUCAAAACGCAUGUAUAACAUUUUCUCACACAAAAUUGAGAUUGUCUUCGGAAGGGGGAAUUAAUAUCAUUUUGAACAAGAUUAGGUGUGUAAUAGGUCGUCAUGACAGUUUAAGCUUGUAAUUGACUUUUCGAGACAAGUUCAAGGGAGAAUUUAUGCCUUUUCCCUAUAUUGUAUAUGCAUAAUAUAUACACAUGAUCUUUAACUUGAUUUCAGUGGAUAAAUAUGAUAUUUAACUUUGUGAGUGCACAAGUAGGUACUUUUACAAUUUAAAACUUGAACACAAAGACUCAAUUUAACCUUUGACGUGCGUGACUUGCAUGAAUUUUAGUAUUUUGCUCCAGAAGAGGUUCGCUUGAGUCACCGGCGAUGUCUCCGGUCAGAUCGAUUGAAGUUCAAUUCUGUCUCUCUUUCUUCUAUUAUUUGUUUGUAUUGAUUGUAAUUGAAGCAAGGAUGGUCUUGAAUGAAUCAUUAAUUUAUCAAUAAGAUAUCUUAAGAGUAAAAUUGGUUCAAUUAAUAUUUGGUUUGGGGGAUUUCGUCCAAUUGAAGGACAUUUGUUAAAUUUCAUAACAAUAAGAGUAAAAUUGGUUUGAUAGUAUAACUAAAGACAAAGUUAACUAAUAAAUGAAAGUAAAAAAGGUAUCUUUGAUCAUUUUUUCCUUUAUCCCUUGUGACUUUGAUUAAAAAGAUAGAAGUAUAUUAUAAAAUGUAUGAGUUUUUAGCCAAAAAUAUUCCUAAACUAUACCCUCAACUUAAACUACAUCCUUAAAUUAUCCUUCUUAACAGAAAAUAUCCCCCAAGUAUUUAAAACUUAACCACUUUCAUCCUUUUGUUAAAGCUUUUUUCACAUAAUUUCAUUAUCCGUUGGAAAAAGCUCCCCCACCAAAAAAAUAAUUAAUUUUUUGAGACAUUUAUUUGCUGAAAAGAAAUAAAGGUAGGAUGGUGUUGCAAAGAGACAUGAUCUACUCUUCUCCUUUAUCAACUUAACGAAGCUGAAGCUUAAUUUCACAUCAUCUUUACCUUCUGUAAAGUCAAAAUGUAAUUAGAUCAACAAUUUUUUGGGCAAUUUGAUGUUUAAAGUGAUCAAGAUUCUGAAUUUCAUAUAUGACACUCGAGUUUUGUUCUCCAUUAUUAAAAGUAAAAGUCUCAAAUCGCCACCAUUUCUUGUAGAUUCAAUGAGAAAAAAAUAUUUCAACUGGUAAUUUUUUAAUAUCAAAUCAAAUGAAAAAUAAAUUAAAACAAAGUUGCUAAUAAAAAGAUCUGCAUAAUGCCAAGUGUUGUUGCAAAAAAGAAUUCACAAUAAUAUUUUAGAUGUAUCACGAAAUGAAGAGAUUUUUUUAAUCUUUAGUGAUUUAGGAAGUUUUGCUGAGAGUAGUAUGAAUUGCACAUAUUUUUGUAUGAAUUCUGUUAAUUUGUGUCAAAUUAUAACAAAAGGAUGGAAGUUGUUAAGUUUAAAAUACUUGAAGGAUUUUUUUGUUAAGAAGUAGAAUAGCAUGGGACAUAAGUUUCAUUUAGUUUGAAUUACAUAACAUGGGACAUGACUCAUGAGUGUAUUGGACAUGGAGUAAGACUAGAUAUGGAUAUAUACUUCAUUUUCAUAAAACCUUCGAAACUUGUCAUGGUCUUAGGUUACCUUACACCUCAAAAACUUCCUUCAAGGCAUGUUUCAUACCUAAUAUUUGCCUUGUAAGAUAUUUCUAAUGGUGUGAGUUCUUGAAACACAAAUCAAUACCUUUUACCUUCAAUAAGACGAAACUUACCACUCUCAUCACUUUUCAAUUAUAAUUCUGACAUGAGCACAUCUAAUUACAAAGUGUUGUGUCGUAUCUAGAAAGUUUCCGGAAAAGGCAUGCAUGGCUUUGUCUAAACACACUGGAAAAAAACACUUUAAAAAGCAUAUACAAUAGUGAAUCAACCGCGUCUACCUUCUUUUGGCACAUUCUGUCUAAUAAGAAUUUAAAUUAUUAUACAUUUGAAAGCAUCAGGGAAAAAUAGAAUUACUCUUCUGCUUGAUCCCUUCUAAUGCCCUUCUUCAACUGUAAUCGUCACCUGAUUGUUGGAUACAAUGUAUAUCUUAUUGGAGGAAGAAGAUGAUGUGCUAGAAGCGUGCGUCCUUGUUACAAAAGCUGGUCUAUUAGGUGUUGGAAGGUUAGUACCUUCCCCUCCCAGCAUUAAAAUGACAUCUGACAUAUUAGGACGAUGAUUUGGAUCUUCUUGUACACACAGGAGCGCAAUAUAUAUACACUUUAUUG